This 441-nucleotide ribosomal RNA is filed under the name uncultured bacterium. Its description in RNAcentral is "partial 16S ribosomal RNA". It matches the Rfam family "Bacterial small subunit ribosomal RNA", at positions 338 to 795 of the family's 1533-position model. The record is from RNAcentral.
CCUACGGGAGGCAGCAGUGGGGAAUAUUGCACAAUGGGGGAAACCCUGAUGCAGCGACGCCGCGUGAGUGAAGAAGUAUUUCGGUAUGUAAAGCUCUAUCAGCAGGGAAGAAGAAAGACGGUACCUGACUAAGAAGCCCCGGCUAACUACGUGCCAGCAGCCGCGGUAAUACGUAGGGGGCAAGCGUUAUCCGGAUUUACUGGGUGGAAAGGGAGCGUAGACGGCUGUGCAAGUCUGAAGUGAAAGCCCAGGGCUCAACCCUGGGACUGCUUUGGAAAAUGUGGAGCUAGAGUGCUGGAGAGGUAAGUGGAAUUCCUAGUGUAGCGGUGGAAUGCGUAGAUAUUAGGAGGAACACCAGUGGCGAAGGCGGCUUACUGGACAGUAACUGACGUUGAGGCUCGAAAGCGUGGGGAGCAAACAGGAUUAGAUACCCUUGUAGUC